This is a long non-coding RNA of Eufriesea mexicana, 243 nucleotides long. RefSeq lists it as uncharacterized. The record is from RefSeq and is a predicted model, not a curated record. Lineage: Eukaryota; Metazoa; Arthropoda; Insecta; Hymenoptera; Apidae. The transcript has 3 exons.
GUUGAAUGCUAGGAGUCACUGGCACGUUGGCGGUCAGCUAAAUCGAAAAGGGGCGAACGAACCGACAUAAACUUCAUCGAACAAUUCGCGAGAUGUCCGAAUGAAGGUGCGGAUGUAAAUAAAGAUGGAGUUUGGCAGAUGUUUAUACCAGAAUGACGAAAUUGAGAAUUCCAAGGAUCAAGCAUGAGAAUAAAAUAACAGGAAACCUGUAUACGAACCGGAUACCGACAACCUUGAUGUACC